RNAcentral lists this transfer RNA (83 nucleotides) under Bacteroidota bacterium. RNAcentral's name for it is "Bacteroidetes bacterium (activated sludge metagenome) tRNA-Leu". It matches the Rfam family "tRNA". From Rfam's summary of the family: Transfer RNA (tRNA) molecules are approximately 80 nucleotides in length. Their secondary structure includes four short double-helical elements and three loops (D, anti-codon, and T loops). Lineage: Bacteria; Pseudomonadati; Bacteroidota. The record is from RNAcentral.
GCCCACGUGGCGAAAUUGGUAAACGUUGCGGUCUCAGAAGCCGUUGGAGUCUAUCCUUGGGAGUUCGAGUCUCCCCGUGGGCA